GAGUUUGAUCCUGGCUCAGAACGAACGCUGGCGGCGUGCUUAACACAUGCAAGUCGAACGCGAACGAGUUCUUCGGAACUUUAGUAGAGUGGCGCACGGAUGAGUAACGCGUAAGUAAUCUACCCUCGCAUUUGGGAUAACCCACCGAAAGGUGUGCUAAUACCGGAUACGUCUAAGAUAAUAUCUUUUUUUUAGAGAAAGGUGGCCUCUGAUUCAAGCUACUGUGCGGGGAGGAGCUUGCGUACCAUUAGCUAGUUGGUAGGGUAAUGGCCUACCAAGGCAACGAUGGUUAGCGGGUCUGAGAGGAUGAUCCGCCACACUGGAACUGAAACACGGACCAGACUCCUACGGGAGGCAGCAGUGAGGAAUAUUGCGCAAUGGGGGCAACCCUGACGCAGCGACGCCGCGUGGAUGAUGAAGGCCUUCGGGUUGUAAAAUCCUGUCAGAUGGGAAGAAGUGCUAUAUGGUUAAUAUCUGUAUAGUUUGACGGUACCAUCAAAGGAAGCACCGGCUAACUCCGUGCCAGCAGCCGCGGUAAUACGGAGGGUGCAAGCGUUGUUCGGAAUUACUGGGCGUAAAGCGCGCGUAGGCGGUCUGUUAUGUCAGGUGUGAAAGUCCAUGGCUCAACCAUGGAAGUGCAUUUGAAACUGACAGACUUGAGUACUGGAGGGGGUGGUGGAAUUCCCGGUGUAGAGGUGAAAUUCGUAGAUAUCGGGAGGAAUACCGGUGGCGAAGGCGACCACCUGGCCAGAUACUGACGCUGAGGUGCGAAAG
This 774-nucleotide ribosomal RNA is filed under the name uncultured bacterium. RNAcentral's name for it is "bacterial SSU rRNA". It matches the Rfam family "Bacterial small subunit ribosomal RNA", at positions 9 to 759 of the family's 1533-position model. The record is from RNAcentral.